UGUUGUUUCCUGCUUUGUCUUUGUUUCUUCCAAGCCCCUUUUCCUGCUUGUUUUGGUUACUGAAUUUCCCAUAGGAGCCUUCCCUGUCCAUUUAUAUUUUAAGAGUGAAUACUAAAAUGCUGAUUGGGCAUCUGUGUGACAAGGAAGGGGGCUUAACUUCCUUGUAGGGUUCCAGAAGAGAGCCUGCUUUUUUCCUGCUGGUGACACCUAAAUGUCAGUGCCUAUAGAUCUUUUCCGUGGGGAUGUUGGGUUUUCCUGGAGAAGAAUGUUGCCUGGGGGUUUAAUAGCCUGGUUGUCCUGCAUUCUGGGAGCCUUGAUGGCAAAGGAGGCUGGGUACCCUGUUUGGUAUGCAGACUUUCACUCCCUCUGUCCUUUUCUGAAGGUUGCCCCCUUCUCUGCCUUCCUCUCUCAGCUAUUCCCCUCCCUCAGCUGUGUCUGAAUCAGAGUCUCUCUUGUAGUUUGCCUAAACAGUGAAUCUCUACCUUUUUCCUGAGGGAGGGAAAUCAGACUGAGCAGAUUGCAGGCAGGGAGACCCUGGGCUGGAAUCGCUCCUUGAACAACUUUUAGCAGAGUCUCUUUUUAGCCCCUGUCCCCUCCCCUCUCAGUCCUUGGUGCCUCCAAUUCCUGAGGCUUCUCCUGUUUCUGUGGCAUUAGUCCCCUCUUGUUUAGUGGUUUCUUCCCCUGCUUGCACUUAGCAGAGCAGAAACCUGAAUCAGCUACUGCAUGGUGGUCAGCUCUCUGUCUUCCAGAGUUUUGUUGAUGUAUCUUGUCUGCUGUUGUUUCCUUUCCAUUAAAAAUCAAAUUUUUCUGGUGGGGUUCUGGGAGAGAGCAGGGAUAAAUAUGGGUGUUUUAAUCCUCUGAUUUGACCAGAAGUUUCAUCUCUUUAUCCAAGCCCUUAAACUGGUACCUGAUAUAUCGUAUAUUCCCAAGAAAUGUUUGUUAACUGAUUGAACACGCGUUUCUAAGAUGGUAUGGCUACUGUUAGUCGUAAGAUUUCAAGAGAGUCCCAAACAUACAAUCUUACAAAGAUAAAUCCGUUGUUUAUUCUGAGGUAGAUGUAGUAACUGGCAACAGAUCCUGCCAUUCUCCCUGUGCCGUGUAGGGUAGGGAGCGCCAUGAGACAGCGUUGUAGGCUUUUGGGCUAGAGAUCGACGAGACUCAGAUGCUGUCUCUAGGCUUAUCACUAAUGACCUGAGUCACCUUUAGAAGUCACUUAACCUGUCUGGGUCUUGGUUUCCCCAGCCUUAAAAUGGGCUAUCGGUCAAGAUUUGAUUCCAUUCACUGCGCUGAAUACCUGCUGUGUCAACGCAUGGUGCUAAGAUCCUUCCAGGUUGGACACAGAGAAUGUGUGUCUGUGCCCUGGUCCCGGAUGGUGUACAUCACCAGAUUCAUGGAGGACUCAGAAUUGGUUGUUAGGAAACUGUCUUCAAACCAACUAAUAGCUUUACACAGGAAAUAGGAAGCUGGGAUGGUGGUUCUCAGAGAAUAAGAGGGCUGCAGCGUUUCCAAACGUUUUAGUGAGACAAGCACAGCCAGAGGAAGAAGAGAGACUGGAUGGACUUCAGGCUCUCUCAGCAGCCAGGAAGCUUCCUGAGGCCCCCCCCAACACUCUCCCGAGAUGCCUCCUUGGCUGGAGCUUGGCUGCACGUCCAUCCCUGAAUCAAUCACUGUUGACUGGAAGGCGGCCACACUUCUGGAGGGAUCUGGAGGAGAGGCACGUAUCCAAACAAAAUGGAGGCUCUGUUAGGAAGGAAGGAGCAGGGACUAGGGGUUGGGAAGGCAACUGCCAGGGCCCAGGGUGCAGGUGGCCCGAGCAGUAUGCCUCAUGUCAUCCUGAGCAGUCGGGCUGUUGGCAAGGUUAUCUCUGUCCUGCAGAUGAGGAAAUGAGACUCCCUGAGCUUCAGUGACUUGUAGAUAACAGGCCCGUGGAUGGUGUGUAGGGGGCGGGAGUGGGGGAACUGGGGUGUUUGUGAGGCCUUUUUAGCCCUAGGAGAGUAAUCAUACUUUUGUUUUUAACCUGAGGUGUCAGAGCAGACGCCUUCGUUUCUGAUUUCUCCUUUAUGACUCCAGUUAUUCGUGGCGGAAGGCCUUCCUCUGUUUUUCCUAUGGGCAGAAUUCUCAAGGCGUGAGAAAAAAUACGCAACUUUGGUUGUACCUGAAAGCAGCUGAGAUGAUGAUAUCAGCUCCGAUUUGGGGGGAAAGGGGCUGGCCACAUCAGCCCCUGUGCUAGGUAUAGUGCAUGCAUUAUCUUAAAUCCUGGCAACAACCUACUAAGUUAGGUUUUAUUCUCCGUAUUUUAAAGAUGGGGAAACUGAGUCUCAGGAAGGUGAAGCUGAGGGUGGUGGGUGGCACAGCUCGUGGGUGGUGGAGCCAAGCCUGACGGCUCAAAUUCGGUGCCGCUUCCCUACUCCACACUGGGGCUUAUCAGCGGCUGCCAGCCUUGUUUAUGCCCCUGAAGGAAGGUUCUCAGGGAACGGGCUUUUAGUGUCAAGAGUUCCAAAGGAGCUGAAUGUUUCCUAUGGGAAUAAUUCUCAGGGCACCAGGAAAAAUAUCCUGAGCAUAAUAAACACAAGAAAGAAACAGGAAAUCUGGUUUGUUAUAUAGCAGCUAAAAUACAACUAGGAAAACCCUUUAAAAAACCUAAAAGGUUUGCUGGAUUUGAAAAGGAAAGGUCCCGAUGGAAAGGGGAGGGAAACCCCUGUGAGUUCGGGAGAUAAAUGUGGACAGUGUGGCAGCAAUAAUGGGUGCUGGGUGGAGAGUGAACACCUUGCUUUUUCCCCGGUUCUGCUUAUGACUCUGAUCUCUGGCAAGUCACUUAGCUUUUCAGAGCAGUGUCCGCACGUGUAACGGGUGGUCCUGGCUGGCAGCUCGGUGGGCAGAGGUCGCAGAGGCGUAAAGGGUGGAGCAAGCCUUGCCAACUGUGCAGCGCUUUGCAAAGGUGAGGGAGUGUCCGGUCUGAACCACAGAGUUGACCCCCCGGAGUUUUAAACCGAGUGCCCCUCUACCUGGUGGCGAGCUGUUCGUUGCCUAUCGGGGGCAUGUCAGAACUGGUGGAGGACAGCCCCUUCGCCUCCACUGGAUGUCUGGCUUCGGCCUCAUCACAAGGAGAAAUCAGCUUUGCCUGCAAACGUCCAGCUCUGGACGUUUGGAGUCCCUCCCUUGGCACAUUGCCUGACCUAUGCCUCGGGGACUAUUGCCUACAGAUGCCCAGGGGGAGGUAACAGUAGUACAAAGUGGGCAGAGAUAAGUGCCCCAUGCACAGCAUGGAAGGUACAGACCAUGGCUGCCGUGGGAGGAUCCUGGGGCUCAGGAAGCUCUGGGUAAUCUGGCCAUGUAUGUUGAAGAUGGAUCACAGGUGUGUGUGUGUGUGUGUGUGUGUGUGUGUGUGUGUGUGAGAGAGAGAGAGAGAGAGAGAGAGACAGACAGACAGACAGGUGAGCCCCUUUGUGAGUGCCGCCAACAUACCUCUCUGAUGAUGGUGGCGCUGGAGACACAGUGACCUGACUUUUCAAAUAUGAACAGAGGGAAUAAUAGGGAAUUUCCCCCUCCCAGUGAAGUGUAUCUGCAACUUUGUAGGGGUUUGAGUCUGCACUAAGAUAUUUAAGAUUAGUUUCUUGCUCCUAGCUUUCCUACCGUACCCAUUUAUAUUGAGCAACCUCUGCAUAGCAAGCUGAGCUCAGUGCUGUGGUCUCAAAGACCAAAAUCAUUGUCCUUGGGUAGGAGUCUCCUAGGUAAACAGGAUCAUUACAAAACUGUGUGAUAAGUGUUAACAGGUAUGUGCAGGGUCCUCGGGGAGAAGUAGGAGGGAACACCUGGUUGGGUCAGGUGGGGGGAGGGACACUUGUUUCUCAGAGGAGGUGACACCUGAGCUGGGGCUAGAAGGCUGGGAGGAAGUGUGCCAGGUGGACCAGCCUCUUGGAAGGGAUUCUAGACAGAGGGCGGUAAUAGCUUUCAUCUGACAAUAAAAACUGUUCCUGAAAGCCUGCUGUGUGGCAGUGGUGAGGCAGAGAUGGAUGGGACUGUGUCCCAGCCCUGCAGGUGCUCACAGUCAGAGGUGAAUAGGAGAUGACAGUGAAGGUGACAGUGUGAUUGGAAUAUGGACAGUCUGUGGAAACACAGGGCCCUGCUGAAGUCAGUUGUGAUAAUUUGCUUAUCAGUCUUCCUCUGAGGGGGCCCCUUUGCGGGUCUUUCGUUGGUGAGAGGCUCUGUUGAAGAAGCUGGCUUGCUGUCUGCUGCCCUUGGGGUGGGCUGUGCCCUUCAACAGUUUGGAUUGUUCUGUGAGACACCUAUUCGUACUUACAGAUUUCUUCCUUGUGGAGGCUGCGCUGGGCUUAGCAAGUUGGGCUUGGGCAAAACACUUCACUAGUCUGGGCCUUUUUUUUCCUUCCCACUUACGGAAGAAAGGCUGUUUGGAUCAGGUCAUUGUUUCUCAAAUAGCAGUCUAGGGAGCAGCUCCUUUCGAAUGGCAGGCGUGCUUGUGGACAUGCAGAGUCCUCGUGGGGUGGCAUCUUGUCCUCAUUUGUAGGGCCAGACACUGGGGAGUGGGGUGUGGGAUUUUGCCUUUAACAGGCAGUCCGGGUGAUUCCUACACAUCUUAGAGUUUGGAGACACCUGGGCCACAGGAUGGCAACUUCUAAUCCUGUCAGCCCUAAUCUCCUCAGCCACAUCUACGUCCACAGGAAGUGGGAAGAUAAAGAGUUAGCUUUCUUAAUGUUUUAUCCCUGCAGGACACCUUCAGCAAACUGCU
Long non-coding RNA from Panthera uncia (snow leopard), 4747 nucleotides. RefSeq lists it as uncharacterized. NCBI's taxonomy places the organism in Eukaryota, Metazoa, Chordata, Mammalia, Carnivora, Felidae. The record is from RefSeq and is a predicted model, not a curated record. The transcript is spliced from 5 exons.